Molecule: ribosomal RNA, 390 nt
Filed under: Sulfitobacter sp. Asnod6B4
Lineage: Bacteria; Pseudomonadati; Pseudomonadota; Alphaproteobacteria; Rhodobacterales; Roseobacteraceae
Description: bacterial SSU rRNA
Rfam family: Bacterial small subunit ribosomal RNA
Source: RNAcentral
CUAGCCNUGCCGCGUGUGUGAUGAAGGCCUUAGGGUCGUAAAGCACUUUCGCCAGAGAUGAUAAUGACAGUAUCUGGUAAAGAAACCCCGGCUAACUCCGUGCCAGCAGCCGCGGUAAUACGGAGGGGGUUAGCGUUGUUCGGAAUUACUGGGCGUAAAGCGUACGUAGGCGGAUCAGAAAGUAUGGGGUGAAAUCCCAGGGCUCAACCCUGGAACUGCCUCAUAAACUCCUGGUCUUGAGUUCGAGAGAGGUGAGUGGAAUUCCAAGUGUAGAGGUGAAAUUCGUAGAUAUUUGGAGGAACACCAGUGGCGAAGGCGGCUCACUGGCUCGAUACUGACGCUGAGGUACGAAAGUGUGGGGAGCAAACAGGAUUAGAUACCCNGGNAGUC